This 459-nucleotide ribosomal RNA is filed under the name uncultured bacterium. Its description in RNAcentral is "partial 16S ribosomal RNA". It matches the Rfam family "Bacterial small subunit ribosomal RNA", at positions 338 to 795 of the family's 1533-position model. The record is from RNAcentral.
CCUACGUGCGGCAGCAGUGAGGAAUAUUGGUCAAUGGGCGCGAGCCUGAACCAGCCAAGUCGCGUGAGGGAAGACGGUCCUAUGGAUUGUAAACCUCUUUUGUCGGGGAGCAAAAGACGCCACGCGUGGCGUUCCGAGAGUACCCGAAGAAAAAGCAUCGGCUAACUCCGUGCCAGCAGCCGCGGUACUACGGGGGAUGCGAGGGUUGUCCGGAUUUAUUGGGGUAAAGGGGUGCGCAGGGGGAAGAUCAAGUCAGAGGUAAAAUUGAGAGGCUCAACCUCUUCGAGCAGUUGAAACUGGUUUUCUUGAGUGAGGGAGAAGUAUGCGGAAUGCGAGGUGUAGCGGUGAAAUGCAUAGAUAUCACGAAGAACUCCGAUUGCGAAGGCAGCAUACCGGCGCUCAACUGACGCUCAUGCACGAAAGUGUGGGUAUCGAACAGGAUUAGAUACCCUGGUAGUC